GAAUAUUGCGCAAUGGGCGAAAGCCUGACGCAGCGACGCCGCGUGGGGGAUGAAGGUUUUCGGAUUGUAAACCCCUUUCGUGAGGAAAGAUAAAGUGGGUAACCACUUAGACGGUACCUCAAGAAGAAGCCACGGCUAACUUCGUGCCAGCAGCCGCGGUAAUACGAAGGUGGCGAGCGUUGUUCGGAUUUACUGGGCGUAAAGGGCGCGUAGGCGGCCACCGCAAGUCGACUGUGAAAUCUGCGGGCUUAACCCGGAAAGGUCAGCCGAUACUGCGGGGCUAGAGUGCAGAAGGGGCAACUGGAAUUCUCGGUGUAGCGGUGAAAUGCGUAGAUAUCGAGAGGAACACCUGCGGCGAAGGCGGGUUGCUGGGCUGACACUGACGCUGAGGCGCGAAAGCUAGGGGAGCGAACGGG
This 416-nucleotide ribosomal RNA is filed under the name uncultured bacterium. RNAcentral's name for it is "bacterial SSU rRNA". It matches the Rfam family "Bacterial small subunit ribosomal RNA", at positions 359 to 776 of the family's 1533-position model. The record is from RNAcentral.